Long non-coding RNA from Xiphophorus hellerii (green swordtail), 285 nucleotides. RefSeq lists it as uncharacterized. The record is from RefSeq and is a predicted model, not a curated record. NCBI's taxonomy places the organism in Eukaryota, Metazoa, Chordata, Actinopteri, Cyprinodontiformes, Poeciliidae. The transcript is spliced from 3 exons.
UUUAAACUACCAAAUUCACCACAUAACUUUAUAUUUUGGUCCAUCUGAUGUAAUUUUUAAAUAUUAAAUGAGUGAUGUUGUCAGUACUUGAGUAAUACUUUUUUACUUUUACUAGAGUACUUUCUAGAGCAACACACUGUUGUUUUUGCGUAUUUAUUUUCUUGAGCUCACGUUGUCAUGUAAAACUGGAGGGACUGAUUGGUGUAAUUUGGGCCCAUAAAAAGCUGUGGCGUGCCGGAUUUGGCCCCCAGGCCUUGAGCUUGACACUUCUGUUUUAAAUCAUCA